AUAUUAAUGGAGUUCCAAUCACAAAUUAUAACUUUGGAUCUUCUCUCCAAUCUAUCACAUCCUAAAACCUUUUGAUGAAAGUAAUAAAAAUAAAAACACAGAAAAGCACUCCUUUGCCUCUAACAUGGUGACAAAGCUUAUAUAGUUAAGUUAAAACUCGUCAUGGGUAAUCUUGUAAAUUGGUGAAGACUUGGGCUUCAAGUCGGCUGUGACCAAACAGGCUUUCUGCGCGCUUCGCUGUCGAUCGAUGUUCAGGUGUGGUCGAGCUCGAUGGUCAUCUCGGGUGCAUGCUCCAAAUAUCUCCAAAAUGCUCCAAAAUCAACACUUAACUCGAUGGUCAUCUCGGGAUCUUAUAAAUAUAAUAAAUAGACUCUAUAAUAUAAUAAUAGAUAGUAAAAACACCUAUAAAUCAUGGAUGAAAAUAUGUCAAAUUCAUGGUAUAUCAACUAAUCAAAGCUCUCAUUGAGUUAGAUCAUGGGAAAUAGAUCUAUCAAAACGACGGCGAUUCAAGACGUUUGGCUGAUACUUGUGAAAUUGCCACUUGGUCUUCUUCUUCCCGUUGUCUCGGGUCGUUCUCCAAAUCUGGGUUCGAUGCUUAGUGGGAUUCAAUCAGCAGUAGGAGAGAAUGAAGUCGACGGGUUUGUAACAUGGUCCAGAAAGUUGCUUGAAAAAAAAUCAUCUUUGCGAUGUUCAGACACAUCAUCUCUCGACUCUUGACUACGUGGCGGAGAGUGAGCAUCAGAUGUUUCUAGCAAAGAAGUCCCCAUAGCCAAAAGAUAUCUAAGCAUUAUCCAUCACUUGGCGUAUGUUCUUCCUCAAGGUGUUAUCCAGUUGAUUCGAACGGUCACGAAGAUGAGUGGUAGAGAGUAACCAUGAUCGUCCUGUGAAGCUCCAUUUCUCAGAUGGGUCUACUGUGUUUGCAGAUCAUGUUACUUCUCUUACUCUUUAGGUGUGCUUGAGACAAGAUUGAGAGUAAUAAUGGAGGAGGACGGUUGCCUGAUUUGAAAUCAGAUACUAUCAAGAGGUUCAUUGUUUUCUUUCCUCAAUAAAAACUUUCUUCUGCGUUUUUCAUAACUUGCAUAUCUAUCUAUUAAUCAUUUUCUAUGCCAUUUCUGCUACACUUCAUUUUCACGUACCUGGUCGGAGUUAGAGAACAGAGGUAGCAUAUACAAAUAGAGAAGGAACCUGAUAGCCUGACUUCUUGAAUGGCAUUGACUGUCUUCACGAGUUAUUAUGUCCACGUCGUUUGUCUCAGUUCCACGGUAAUAUCUUAACUCUUUACUGUGAGAUACACCAUGUUCGGUGGCUAUUUUUUUGGUUGUUUUACUGGCUGUUUUCAGUAGAUAAAAUGGAAUUCAUGAAUCUAAAGAGAAAUAGGAUUGUUCACGAUGGUUUAUGUCUAAUUAAAUAAUGCAGAUUAUUGAUGGCCUAAGGAUAUAAGUAUUGAAAAAGGACAAGAAUUAUGUGCCAAGUGUUUUCAGUGAGAUCUAAACAAUUACAUUUACAUUUGUUGUUUACACAUUUUCUUUGAUUUACCAAAUUGGGUGUUUGACGGUUUGUUCAUCUCCUUCCACACUAAUGGAUUCAUGCACAUAAUCUCAAACAAGUAAGAUAUAUACAUAUGUGUGUGUUUUAUGUUAUUUUACUACAUAUAUCUAAUAGAGUUUCAUUUCCCUAUUUGGUUGACUACUUAAUUGCUACGAUUACGGAUUUCCAAAGAGCUGCCUUGUAUCUAUAGAAUUUCAAUGCAAUGAAAUAUUUUUCGCCAUUACCCUAUUCCAAAUUUCCUUCACCAAAUAUUUUUCUCCAUUACCCGAUUCCAAUUUUACAACGAGCUUACUUAAUAAUGCAGUUUCUUUUGUGCCUCAGUGAGAUACAAUCUUAAAAUUAGGUUAACAGAGUUUCUAAAGUCGGUUAUGGUCAUGAAACCUCAUUUUAAAUCCAUCUUCUCUGUUUGGACAUGUUGUGUUACCUCAUAUCUUGCAGCCACAUGCUAUUUAAAUUUGAAUUAUACUCAUAUAUAUACCUUAACAGCCGUAUAUCAUAAAUUUCCAUGUCUCUUUUACUACCUUAGUCUAAGAAACUUUAUAAUGUCUAUUUGGCAGAUGAUAUCAGCUUUAACAUUGAUAACUCACAUGCUGCAACUGCACAAGCUACUGCUCAUCUCAGAAAAUCUUCUAAAACUCAAAGCAAAUUCAUCCUUGACAUGCCUUCCUAUUCACAUAUUUGGGACUGUCAUCAUCUUUAUCCUAGUCUGAGCAGCAUCAACCGAAGUAGAGUCGAGGAAACUAUACAAGUUACCACAUUAAAGAUAUAUAUAUAUAUAUAUAUAUAUAUAUAAAAUCAUUGUACAUAUUCUUUGUACUGUAUCUUCCUUCAUCCCUUGCAAUCCAAUUGAAUCUUAGCAUUUAUGUAUUAGACCAUGUUAAUGAAUAUUUAUAGCAAAAGGUACGAACAUGUUAUGGUUAAUGUCAUAUUAGUUCUUUUGCUCGAGACGGUCAAGAACCAAAGAUUAUCAUAGUUAGUGGCGGAGCCAGAAAUAUUUUUGUCUGGAGUCAUAAUAUAUAAAUUUAAUAUGUAUAUAUUAUUAUU
Long non-coding RNA from Brassica napus (rape), 2592 nucleotides. RefSeq lists it as uncharacterized. Lineage: Eukaryota; Viridiplantae; Streptophyta; Magnoliopsida; Brassicales; Brassicaceae. The transcript has 2 exons. The record is from RefSeq and is a predicted model, not a curated record.